ACUGUCAUGGCGCAGCCUGAUGCAGCCAUGCCGCGUGUAUGAAGAAGGCCUUCGGGUUGUAAAGUACUUUCAGCGGGGAGGAAGGGAGUAAAGUUAAUACCUUUGCUCAUUGACGUUACCCGCAGAAGAAGCACCGGCUAACUCCGUG
Molecule: ribosomal RNA, 148 nt
Filed under: uncultured bacterium
Lineage: Bacteria
Description: partial 16S ribosomal RNA
Rfam family: Bacterial small subunit ribosomal RNA
Source: RNAcentral